This 252-nucleotide unclassified non-coding RNA is filed under the name plant metagenome. RNAcentral's name for it is "partial contains small subunit ribosomal RNA, internal transcribed spacer 1, and 5.8S ribosomal RNA". The record is from RNAcentral.
UUUCCGUAGGUGAACCUGCGGAAGGAUCAUUAACGAGUUAGGGUCUUCUAGGCCCGACCUCCCAACCCUAUGUUUAUUGAACCUCUGUUGCUUCGGCGGACCCGCCUCACGGCCGCCGGAGGACCGCUGCAAGGCGUCCUCUGGCCAGCGUCCGCCGAUGGCCAACCACUUAAACUCUGAAUGAAUCGUGUCAUAUGUCUAAGUCUAUGAUUAAAUUAAGCAAAACUUUCAACAACGGAUCUCUUGGUUCUG